UAUGGAUCGGUAAGAGGGAAACUUUCCAGAUUUCCUGGGCCAGUGUGCAUUAAACUAAGAACUUGUUUCUGCAACCAACAGCAGUGCAACAACAAGUAAUUUGUACUGUGCAUGGCAGGGAAAGGAGACUUAUUUAACUUUUUGUGAAUGAUCAAAUUCAGAUUUAUUAACUGGAUCUGGGACAUCACCUCCCAGGUCACUGGGAGUCACUAUGGCAGUGACACAGUGAAUAUCAAACAGACAGCCUUAGAUGUUCAUUGGAAGGUUUGCAGUUUUCAAAUUUUGAGAUUUGUACACAUUUGCAGAAGAUGCUUCAGUCAAAAUCGUUGCUAUCUUAAAUUUGCUGCAGUAUUUACUUUUUGUGGGGUUUGUUUGCAGCCUUAUAUCUUUUUUUGUUUGUUUGUUUGUUUGUUUGUUUGUUUUUUGCUUGGUUUGUUUUCAAGAAAUUCGUAAGAAGAAGGAAUACUGUGACUAAUUUUGCUCCGUCUCACACUUUCGUUGUCGCUUGCUCCGCUCUGCUCAGGUCAGGACAGCAAGCAUCAAGGCUUUGGUGAGAGUAGCAUUGCUUCAAAUGUGGUGUGAGCAGGUAAAAAAAUAAGCGUCGUCAAUUAUUUUACUGGUAAAUGCAGUCAAAAGUGUGGCAUUUACUGCAACUAUUGGCAAAGCCAGUGGUUUUUGGACCUGUUAUUAAUACAACUGGCUGAAUUUCACUGGCAUGAAAUGAUAUUUGGUAGCCUUUUGUCACUGCUAGACCUCUCAGUGUAAACACGUCCUGCACAUCGUUGAGAGAAAUUUGAGCUGUGUUUGGCAGUACUGCGAAACUGUGCUCUUAAAAAAUGCCACUAAUUCUUUUAACGUUUGGAAAAACCCAUUACUUACAUAUGAAGUGUUCAGUGCGUCAUCUGAUGAGUCAGAUGUACACAUAUCAGCUGUGAGGGCUUGAAAUGUGAUGCAGCAUGUGAAAACCAGGCUAAAUGUUCAUCUCUAACAUUUUUAUGUGCAGAUUUAUCGUUUAUUUUUUAACUCGCAGAUGUUAACUUACAACAUCUGUCCCUUGAAUUAUUGUAUGUUAGAAACAAUGUAAGUAGAAAUACUCAAUCUUAACACAUUCAUCAAUAAUGAAACUUCUGAUUUAAAAAAAUCCUCUAGGUUUACAA
Molecule: long non-coding RNA, 1157 nt
Organism: Astatotilapia calliptera (eastern happy)
Lineage: Eukaryota; Metazoa; Chordata; Actinopteri; Cichliformes; Cichlidae
Source: Ensembl